GGAUCCAGCUUUGAUUAUGGCUCAGGACGAACGCUGGCGGCGCGCCUAACACAUGCAAGUCGAACGAGCAAAGAGGAGCUUGCUUCUCUGAGCGAGUGGCGAACGGGUGAGUAACGCGUGAGGAACCUGCCUCAAAGAGGGGGACAACAGUUGGAAACGACUGCUAAUACCGCAUAAGCCCACGGGUCGGCAUCGACCAGAGGGAAAAGGAGCAAUCCGCUUUGAGAUGGCCUCGCGUCCGAUUAGCUAGUUGGUGAGGUAAUGGCCCACCAAGGCGACGAUCGGUAGCCGGACUGAGAGGUUGAACGGCCACAUUGGGACUGAGACACGGCCCAGACUCCUACGGGAGGCAGCAGUGGGGAAUAUUGCACAAUGGGGGAAACCCUGAUGCAGCGACGCCGCGUGGAGGAAGAAGGUCUUCGGAUUGUAAACUCCUGUUGUUGAGGAAGAUAAUGACGGUACUCAACAAGGAAGUGACGGCUAACUACGUGCCAGCAGCCGCGGUAAAACGUAGGUCACAAGCGUUGUCCGGAAUUACUGGGUGUAAAGGGAGCGCAGGCGGGAAGACAAGUUGGAAGUGAAAUCCAUGGGCUCAACCCAUGAACUGCUUUCAAAACUGUUUUUCUUGAGUAGUGCAGAGGUAGGCGGAAUUCCCGGUGUAGCGGUGGAAUGCGUAGAUAUCGGGAGGAACACCAGUGGCGAAGGCGGCCUACUGGGCACCAACUGACGCUGAGGCUCGAAAGUGUGGGUAGCAAACAGGAUUAGAUACCCUGGUAGUCCACACCGUAAACGAUGAUUACUAGGUGUUGGAGGAUUGACCCCUUCAGUGCCGCAGUUAACACAAUAAGUAAUCCACCUGGGGAGUACGACCGCAAGGUUGCAACUCAAAGGAAUUGACGG
RNAcentral lists this ribosomal RNA (900 nucleotides) under uncultured bacterium. Its description in RNAcentral is "bacterial SSU rRNA". It matches the Rfam family "Bacterial small subunit ribosomal RNA", at positions 1 to 916 of the family's 1533-position model. The record is from RNAcentral.